Molecule: ribosomal RNA, 465 nt
Filed under: uncultured bacterium
Lineage: Bacteria
Description: partial 16S ribosomal RNA
Rfam family: Bacterial small subunit ribosomal RNA
Source: RNAcentral
GACGAACGCUGGCGGCGUGCUUAACACAUGCAAGUCGAACGGUGAACUCCGCUUGCGGGGGGAUCAGUGGCGAACGGGUGAGUAACACGUGGGCAACCUGCCCUCAGCUCUGGGAUAACUCCAAGAAAUUGGGGCUAAUACCGGAUAUGACCGCUGACCGCAUGGUCUGGUGGUGGAAAGAUUUAUCGGCUGGGGAUGGGCCCGCGGCCUAUCAGCUUGUUGGUGGGGUAGUGGCCUACCAAGGCGACGACGGGUAGCCGGCCUGAGAGGGUGACCGGCCACACUGGGACUGAGACACGGCCCAGACUCCUACGGGAGGCAGCAGUGGGGAAUAUUGCGCAAUGGGCGAAAGCCUGACGCAGCGACGCCGCGUGGGGGAUGACGGCCUUCGGGUUGUAAACCUCUUUUAGCAGGGACGAAGCGAAAGUGACGGUACCUGCAGAAGAAGCACCGGCCAACUACGUG